Molecule: ribosomal RNA, 253 nt
Filed under: uncultured bacterium
Lineage: Bacteria
Description: partial 16S ribosomal RNA
Rfam family: Bacterial small subunit ribosomal RNA
Source: RNAcentral
GACGUAGGGUCCGAGCGUUGUCCGGAGUUACUGGGCGUAAAGCGCGCGCAGGCGGUCGUUCAAGUCGAGUGUGAAAGCCCCCGGCUCAACUGGGGAGGGUCACUCGAUACUGAUCGACUGGAAGGCAGGAGAGGGAAGCGGAAUUCCCGGUGUAGUGGUGAAAUGCGUAGAUAUCGGGAGGAACACCAGUGGCGAAGGCGGCUUCCUGGCCUGUUCUUGACGCUGAGGCGCGAAAGCUAGGGGAGCAAACGGG